AUGGCGAGGAGCACGCGGUCGGUGGCGACAGAGCGCGCCUACCACCACUUCGCGCCGGCGUCGACGCGUGGCCUCACGGGGUACCCGGCCACGGCAGGCGGCCCCGUCACGGCCGACGAGUUCGACGAGUCAGACGUCUGGGGGUCGUUCAACCCGGCAGAGGAGGCCGAACAACCGGCAAGGUCGGGUGCCGAGCUUCCCCGGGCCCGUGCAGUCCCGGCUGCCCGUCCUGUGAGGAAGACGAAGCCGGUGGGCGGGGGCGGCACCGCGCACGGGUCGCUACCCGUGGCCAUACCGGACUGGGCCAAGAUCCUUGGGGAUGAGUACCAGGGGCACCAGGCCGGGGACUGGGAGCUAGACGACGCGGACGACGAGGACGUCGAGGGCGCCUCGGUGGUGCCGCCGCACGAGCUGGCGUGGCGGCGCCGGGCCGCAUCGCUGUCUGUGAACGACGGGAUGGGGGUCGGCAGGAUGCUCAAGGUCCGAGACGCGGUCUGGAAGAAGACAGGGUUCCAGGCCUGA
Molecule: ribosomal RNA, 522 nt
Filed under: Triticum aestivum (bread wheat)
Lineage: Eukaryota; Viridiplantae; Streptophyta; Magnoliopsida; Poales; Poaceae
Description: partial small subunit ribosomal RNA
Source: RNAcentral